CGUAGCCGCGGUAAAACAGAGGGUGCGAGCGUUAAUCGGAUUUACUGGGCGUAAAGCGUGCGUAGGCGGCUUCUUAAGUCGGAUGUGAAAUCCAUGAGCUUAACUUAGGAAUUGCAUUCGAUACUGGGAAGCUAGAGUAUGGGAGAGGAUGGUAGAAUUCCAGGUGUAGCGGUGAAAUGCGUAAAGAUCUGGAGGAAUACCGAUGGCGAAGGCAGCCAUCUGGCCUAAUACUGACGCUGAGGUACGAAAGCAUGGGGAGCAAACAGGAUUAGAUACCCCUGUAGUCCCUGUCUCUUAUACA
This 301-nucleotide ribosomal RNA is filed under the name uncultured bacterium. RNAcentral describes it as "partial 16S ribosomal RNA". It matches the Rfam family "Bacterial small subunit ribosomal RNA", at positions 510 to 808 of the family's 1533-position model. The record is from RNAcentral.